Molecule: long non-coding RNA, 670 nt
Organism: Brienomyrus brachyistius
Lineage: Eukaryota; Metazoa; Chordata; Actinopteri; Osteoglossiformes; Mormyridae
Exons: 3
Source: RefSeq, a predicted model, not a curated record
GACAGCUAUACUUGAAAAAUUUGGGAAACCAACACAGCCUGCCUCGCUGGUCCUGACUGAAAAAUCACUGUAGCCUGCGGUGUUCUGUCUGCAGCUGCCAGCACUAUUUUCUACGCCUGCAAGGUCUAUGAACCGAAUAUGCAGGAAGACGUCCAACUGGACCCUGACUUCCUAGAGGACCCAGAGUUUGUAGAUGACCAUGCUCCUCCUGCAACUUGGGAGGAGGCUACUGAAAGAGACAUCUAUUCCAGUAUUGGAAUUAAAGUCCAUUGCUCAGAUGACCUGCUGUUGCCAUGAAGGUAAGAUCUGUCAGGCAUUCAACUCUUCUCGUGUGUGUUAGGGCUACACGAUGUACCGUUUCGGCAUCGUCAUCGCGAUGUAGGCACGUUCAAUAGUCACAUCGCAGGAUGUACGAUGUCUAGUAAAGCAAAUUAUAUUAAGUGGCGUAGACAACGCUUUUGGUGUUUUUGCUAAACAAACAAAUGUCUCACUGUUCUAAUUCUUAAACAAUCCAGAUGACAUGGCUUUAGUUGCCUGCCUUCAGGACUAAAACAGCUCUCCCUAUCUUCAGUAUAUUGACACCCUGGCUUUGUGGAUUGACAACAGCUUUCUGGAUCUUAAUGUAAGCAAAACCAAGGAGAUGUGGCUGGUGAGCAGCAAGACGGGAGGC